Long non-coding RNA from Astyanax mexicanus (Mexican tetra), 2978 nucleotides. RefSeq lists it as uncharacterized. Lineage: Eukaryota; Metazoa; Chordata; Actinopteri; Characiformes; Acestrorhamphidae. The record is from RefSeq and is a predicted model, not a curated record. The transcript is spliced from 7 exons.
GAGCUUAUAGCCUACAUCCAAAAACAGCAAUACAGCUAUACACUUAAACCCAAAUAGACCAACAACAAUAUCACUUAAUUAUUUUCUUUUACUCAUACAUUAAUUGUUAAUUAUGUUUAAGAAUGUGAAACACUUACAUACGCUUAUUUUUGUAAACAUUCGGGUCAGGCUCGGACAGAGAAUCUAAACUCUGUGACAGAGCUACACUGAGGAACCCUGAGUGGUCUGGUAAGCCAGGGCACUAUCAGCUAACGGUUUGUCCUACGUAGCAUGUUUUAACAUGGUAAACAUGCAGACUACAGUCUGGAGAAACUGAACUGAAACUCCUUUAAAAUGCUGACCUUCGGCAAUAGAAGUCCUGUGGUUAUGGCAUGGAUAAGAAUGCGCUUAAUAUAGUCCCUAGCUUAAAUUAUCGCGAUAUCCGAUAAUACCGUUUAUCAGCCUAGGCUAGUUGUCACUUCCAGGACUGGAGGCAAAUUAUCGUGGAGCUAAUUCACAGCUUCAAUUAUUCUGUGCCAUAACAAAAUUCGUUCGGGCCAUUUUUUUGAAACAGCAAGGCAUGAUUACAUUUAACAAGCACUUCCCUAAAGUUAUUUUCUUAUUUCAGCAUCUUGGCCUUCACAUUCUGAGAGCAGCUCCGACAAGCUGUUUGAGUGAUGUGGAACCAACACCAGAGCGUUUGGCAAAGUCUAAAACAGUAGAAGGAUCAGCAGAUGUGGCAAAAAUGGUGGUCCUUGCUGCUUUACAACAGAGAGCAGGUGGAGAUGCUGUUCUUACUGAAUAUGGCUCAAAUAAUACACUGUCAAGUGAGACUAGAUGAGUUCUGGUCAACAUAGUGGUUGGACAUAUGAUGGAGAUGCAUGGGAGGAUUCCCACACGAAGGCAAAAAGAGAAAUAUGCUCUUGGUAUUGUGACAGUUUUUCCAUCACUUCGUGAUCCUUUCUCAAAGAAAGGCUAUAUAAACCAAGAUUUCACCCUUCUCUUCAGUGCUGAAACAGCUUCCAAGAUGUUACAGAGAUGGGACACCACCUUCAAAACAAGAAUCAUUGAAGAAGCUGUGGGCCUGACCUUGACGUCUCCUGUGCGCUCCCUUUUGUUGUCAGCAAGAAAAGAAAAGGACACUGAAGAUCAGUUCAAUUGGGACAGUGACAUGGCCACUCUGCUUUUGCUUACGCAUCUGCUUCCACCUCCACCUGGCGGAAAGAGGGCUGUGAAAAUUAGUGCUGCAGAUGCUGCGGACAGACUUGUGGUGCAUCAUAAGCAUUGAUGAACAUCUUUGACAGAAAGAAGAACGACAGCCAUACCUUCUUGCUGUAGGACAAAGCCGAGGCCAGAUAGACAGUUACUACAUAGUCCUUGACAAGAAACUCAUCCCAUGUCAAGCGCUGUCUACCAGAGAUUGAUGUUGGAAAAACAAGAGUCCUCAAGAGUAAAGGAACUACGUGCAAAGCUGCUGAACAUCUAGAGGAAACUAGAAUUUCAGAAUAUUUUCUUGUUUUAGAUGCAGUGCAUUGUAUGCAACGAGUCAAUUACUCAUUAGUCAUUUAAGAUUAGGCCAUGGUUUUUAUCCCAACUCAAAAUUUAAAUUGAUAUGUGACCAAGAAACAUGUAGAAGACAGUUUUCCACAUACUCUGGGUUUAGAAAACAUUUAGAUUCCAUUCAUCAGUUCCACAGUGAUACUGACGGUACUUCCUCUUUGAGGUGUGGUUUAUUGGCUCCUCUUUCAGAAAUUUUACCAUCCUCUUCGGCUCCAAAUUCAUGUGCACAGUCUCAGGCACAAACAGGGGAUUUUGAGGAAACUGAGUCUGGGGUUUCUCCUGAAUACAUGAAAAACAUGUGUGCAUCUGUUGUUGCAAAGAAAGUGAUGUUGCCACUAGUGUUGUCUCUUCUAUUGUUUGUGAUCUGGAAGAAUUUACAAAUGAGAUGCACUCUAAGCAUAAUAUUAAGCAUAAAGUACUCUCUGUAGUUCCUGAAUCAGUUCCUGUAAGGACAGCUGUAGAACAAAAUUUGGAAGAUUUUGAAAACCCCUUUGCUUGUUUUAAUUCUGAUGCUAAAAGGGAGAAGUACUUCACUGACAAAUGGGGUAUUGUUGAGCCAAUGCAAAAUUGUAUUGGGUGUCAGAUAUGAUGGUAGACGGGACAAGAAAACUGGUACUUGCAUUCAGAUGCCAGUGAACGACACCUUCAUUUAUGUUCCUAUUUUGGAAAGUCUGAAAUUCAUGUUCAGAAAUUCAGAGAUUUGUGAAGCGGUCAGAGCACAUACCUCAUCUCUUGGGAAUGUGUACAAGGACUUCAGUGAUGGAAGUUACUUUAAGAAUCAUCCUCUGUUUUCUAAGUUUCCAAAUGCAUUGCAAAUCCAGCUCUAUUACGAUGACUUUGAGACCGCCAAUCCUCUUGGCUCAAAACAUGGCGUUCACAAGAUAGGCUGCCUAUAUUUUGUGUUGCGAAACUUGCCACCAAAAUUCAAUUCUGCAGUCCUAAAUAUACAUUUAGUGUGUCUGUUUCACUUCCAAGACCUAAAGAUAUAUGGAUUUGAUCUGAUUUUACAGCCUUUGAUUUCAGACCUUAAAAUUCUUGAAAGUGAAGGAAUGUAUUUACCCAUAUCCAGUGGAAAGGUCUAUGGCACAAUCAGCCAAAUAACAGGAGAUAAUUUGGCAAUGCAUGCCAUUCUUGGUUUUACAGAGUCCUUCAGCGGGCAAUAUUUUUGCCGUUUGUGCUUGAUUGCUAAGGCUGAUGCCCAAAAUGUCUAUUGUGAGGAUGACCAUAGAGUUGUAAUGCCGUUCAACCUUCAGUGUGCUGAUGGACCAGAUGAUGGCAUGUAUGUGGUGCCACACUUUUGUUUGUUUUAGUCACUGUUUAAAUUAAUUUCAGAUUUGUUCAAACUUUCUUGAAAAGUGUUUGUGUGUGUAUUUUUACCCCCGCACAAAUGUUUUUAUACCAAAAAAGCAUCCAGUUAAUAAAACAAACAUUUUUCAGUA